Molecule: ribosomal RNA, 726 nt
Filed under: uncultured bacterium
Lineage: Bacteria
Description: bacterial SSU rRNA
Rfam family: Bacterial small subunit ribosomal RNA
Source: RNAcentral
AGCGGCGAACGGGUGAGUAACACGUAGGUGAUCUGCCCAUCAGACGGGGAUAACGAUUGGAAACGAUCGCUAAUACCGGAUAGGACGAAAGUUUAAAGGUGCUUCUGGCACCGCUGAUGGAUGAGCCUGCGGCGCAUUAGCUAGUUGGUAGGGUAAAGGCCUACCAAGGCGACGAUGCGUAGCCGACCUGAGAGGGUGAACGGCCACACUGGGACUGAGACACGGCCCAGACUCCUACGGGAGGCAGCAGUAGGGAAUCUUCGGCAAUGGGCGAAAGCCUGACCGAGCAACGCCGCGUGAAUGAUGAAGGCCUUCGGGUUGUAAAAUUCUGUUAUAAGGGAAGAACGACUUUAGUAGGAAAUGGCUAGAGUGUGACGGUACCUUAUGAGAAAGCCACGGCUAACUACGUGCCAGCAGCCGCGGUAAUACGUAGGAGGCGAGCGUUAUCCGGAAUUAUUGGGCGUAAAGAGCGCGCAGGUGGUUGAUUAAGUCUGAUGUGAAAGCCCACGGCUUAACCGUGGAGGGUCAUUGGAAACUGGUCGACUUGAGUGCAGAAGAGGGAAGUGGAAUUCCAUGUGUAGCGGUGAAAUGCGUAGAGAUAUGGAGGAACACCAGUGGCGAAGGCGGCUUCCUGGUCUGUAACUGACACUGAGGCGCGAAAGCGUGGGGAGCAUACAGGAUUAGAUACCCUGGUAGUCCACGCCGUAAACGAUGAGUGCUAAGUGU